CCCGUGAAAAACACCAAAUAAUAACAAUAGUACAAGAGAUUGUUGUCCACCAAAGCCGUUAGAUGGACAGUUGACCCCGUGAAAAACACCAAAUAAUAACAACAGUACAAGAAUCUGUCAAAUUUUUUCACAACAAACCAAUUCCAUGUGUUAUGUCUUGAAUUUUUUCAAGCAACCACAAUUAUUAAUAAAUAAAUAAAUAAACAAUUAAUUAAUUUGUACAUGAAAUAUAUUACAAAAUACAUACUUUUGUAUAUACCUACAACAUGUUAUUAUGUAUAAAUAAAUAAAAUAAAUUUUUAUCUACAUGUACAGAGCCAAGCAGAACCAAGUAUCCAGCUGCUUAAUAAAUUUUAUGUGCAGAUUAUCAAUAACAAAUGUUUGUCGUUACCAAAAAAAUUAAUAGCCAAAAUAUUAAGAAAUUAUAUUAUUAUAUUAUAAUUAUAUGUGCUUGUUGGUCCAGCACAGUCUAGUAGUACAGUCCAGCUCAUCCUCAUCUCUUGCUGCUAAUUACUAAAUUGACAACUUUAUCAUGCUUGGAGAUUUAGCAAGGUAAUAAAUUACAAUAAUUAAUUGAGCUGGUGACAGAGCACUAAGACAAGCUACAUCAUAGAAAGGAUAUAAUGAUAAACAAGAAAGUCAAAAAUUUAAU
Molecule: long non-coding RNA, 652 nt
Organism: Aphidius gifuensis
Lineage: Eukaryota; Metazoa; Arthropoda; Insecta; Hymenoptera; Braconidae
Exons: 4
Source: RefSeq, a predicted model, not a curated record